RNAcentral lists this ribosomal RNA (435 nucleotides) under Triticum aestivum (bread wheat). RNAcentral describes it as "partial small subunit ribosomal RNA". The record is from RNAcentral. Lineage: Eukaryota; Viridiplantae; Streptophyta; Magnoliopsida; Poales; Poaceae.
AUGGAGGAGGUGGCGUCUGGGUUGAGGAUCAAGCAGGCGGCUGCACUGCUAGCUUGCUGGGUGGCUGGGGUCCUCGCCGUAGGCAAGGGUUGGGGCGGCGUCGCCGGUCGACUGGAGCAGAGGGGUUGGGAUCGCCGGCGACAAGGGCGGCUGCGAAGCUCGGCCGGGCUAUUGGUCGGAGCCUUGGCUGUGGAGGCGCGAGGGAAAGAUGGGGAGGGGCGCGAGGGAGGUAGAGCAGGGGGAGGGGCGGGGACGGGAGCGAGCAACAGAGGCGGUGCCGGCCGCCGAGCAUCAACGACGACGAGUAGCAGCGGCGCCAGAGUGAGCAGCAGAAGUGGCGCAGGCGACCAGGCGCGAGCGAGCAGCGGCGCGGGCGCGAGAGAGCAGCAGCGGUGGCGCAGGCGGGAGAGAGCAGUGGCGGCGGCACCGGAGUGA